Molecule: non-coding RNA, 850 nt
Filed under: Pongo abelii (Sumatran orangutan)
Lineage: Eukaryota; Metazoa; Chordata; Mammalia; Primates; Hominidae
Source: RNAcentral
CAAGAACUUCGGAGCUCAGAACAGGUGAUACUCACUCCUCCUUUGGGGAGAUGCCGUGGGCAUGGCUUCACUUUUCAGCUGGAUUAUAAAGGAUGUGAAGUUAGCCUGACUGAGCAGGAGGGGAGGGAAGACAGCACUCCAGGAAAGUGGAACGAACAACAGAGUCCAAAGGGCCCUCCAGCCUACCCAGUCCCAAGUACCUGGAAGAAGCUCUCCACGUGUUCCCUUGGGGCCUCCUCCCGGAGUGCAGGGUCAUACAGGUUGAAGGCCCAAUUAAGCCUGUCAUCUACAGUUCCCCGAAGAAUCACGGACAAACCAGCCACAAAGUCCUGGGAAGGAGGCAGGAGGGAGCUGUGUCCUCGGGUACUCUUCACCCAACCCCUUCUCUGGGUUUGGCCUGGAGAUCCUGGCCCUGAAGUCCAGGAAACAGGCUUCCCUGGCCCAACUCGCCCAGCUCACCUCAAAACUGACCGAGCCAUCAUGGUUGGUGUCAAAGGCAUUGAAGAGGAAAGUGGCAUAGGUGCUGGAGUCUGCAGGGUGAGUGUGGAGAAGUUGGCUUCCACACAGAAGAGGACUUCCUCCCUCUGCGGAGCUCCCCAUACCCCCCAUCACCUUGGCAUUCCCAGCUCCUCCAGAAUCCGUCCCUCCCUUAGCCUAGAGAAGGACAGCUGCUUCCCCUUGGGCCUUGUCCGCUCACCUCCUUGAGGAAAGAACUGGGAGUAAAUCUGCUUGAAGUUCUCCUCAUUGACAAUUCCGCUGGGACAUUCCUGGAAGGAGAGGGCACCAGGCUGAGGGCAGAGACAAAAUCCCCUUCCAUUCACCGCCCCCACCCUCCAUGGCCCAAGACUCC